RNAcentral lists this long non-coding RNA (2495 nucleotides) under Strongylocentrotus purpuratus (purple sea urchin). RNAcentral describes it as "uncharacterized LOC105440929, transcript variant X2". The record is from RNAcentral. Lineage: Eukaryota; Metazoa; Echinodermata; Echinoidea; Camarodonta; Strongylocentrotidae.
CCUCAUAGUCAAGUGAAGAAAGACCAACUUAGAAGUGCUUGGCUGGAAGAAAACUUCUCAGAAUGGAUCUUUUGAUAAAGGCAAGAUGGAAAUCCAAUACUGACCACCCAUGAUGAUGAAAUGGAUAUCUACCAGCUUGACAGUUGCUGGUAGGGAGUCGACGGUCAAAGAUAAGCAGCCAUUGUUUUGGAUCAAGAGUUGCUGCUGGAGACUGAAGAUUUCUCCACUUCCCGAGUCUGAGUGAUUGAUGACCUCGUCCUUGCAACAAUUCCACAAUCAUAACUGAAGGCAGAUCUCGACUUUGUAUUGAUCAAGGCUAUCUGAAUGAAGCAGAGGAGUUUGCAAACCAAGAUCUGUAUCCAGUUCAAGACUCUGGUUGGUGGAAUUUGCAUACCACGAGCUGCAUCCAGAACAAGACUUGACUUGAUGAUGUGAGCUUGUGAAGACCUGCAUCCAGUUCCAGAUUUGACUUGAUGCUGUGACCUUGUAAAGAGCUGCCUGCAACCAGUUUUAGGUAUGCACAUUUGGACACUUCUUGCAAGGAAAGGCCAGUUUCCCCAUCCAUUUUCAGGCCAGUUUCCACAAUGGUGUAUUGUAUGAAGCUUCAACAAAGAAGAUUGGGAAAAGGCCAGAUCCCCUGCUGACGUAGAGUCUCGUCAAAGUAGAACAGGAAAUGGAGCCAACAAUGCUUGAUCGAGGAAGGCGACCUAAAUGCCCAAUCGAGUGUCAACAGUUUCCUCAUCUCUUGUACACAUUCCAUGAUGUCUCUGCAACAGGAGUGAGUCUGUCUUUGAUCCAGUGACAGCAUGAUGUGAUGGUCAUCAACAGCAGAAACAUUGUUGAUGGCGAGUCUUGUUCGGCACAGAGGACAAGGCAUAGGAGUGAAGGAAGAGCCUUAUUUCCCUUUGAAGGAAGGAUCCUCUUUGCUUGUCGGCUAAGGACACAGAACGAGUGAGAAAAAGUGUGAGGAAGAGCCAAUUUCCCUUUGAAGGAAGGAUUCCCUUUCCUUUGUCAGCCGAGGACACAGAACGUGGAUCUUAACCUCCUGCAACCUAGAACAAGUGCGAGGACUUUGACAUUGAUGUUGGUUUCACCGUUACUCAUGUCAUGGUCAAGAACAUCAGUUGAGGUCAACUUUGGCCAGAAGGACUUUGAAGGAGAGAAGCCAACCAUCUCGUACACCAAGAAAAGCACCAACCGUGGUGUUGCUUUCACAAUUGGGAAGAACUAAAUGGUCAAGCCCUGUUCCCUCAUUCAGGGUCAAGAACAUCUGUUGAGGACAACUUUGACCAGAAGUCCUACAGGUGGAGCCAUAUUUCCCUUUGAAGUAAGGAUUCUCUUUCCUUUGUCAGCUGAGGACACAGAACGUGGAUCUAAACCUCCUUCCACCAAGAAGAAGUGUGAGGUUCUUCAUGGAACUGAACCUGCUGAUUUUAACGUCAGAAAGUCCAGUCCUGCAUGUGAAAACAAAGCUGGAGAUACCCUGCCACCGAUUUUCUCCACCUACAUCCAUCAUUACAAAUAACAGCUUGGUCGUUCUGUGUUGAAGGCUUUCACCUUUUGUCCUGUGAUCACUUAUAUGCUUCACAUCUAAUUCAGUGAUCUGUGACACUGAUACCUUGCCAAGUCUUGUCGCCCAAUGUGGAUCACCAAGAGGGAUCCUCUGAAGACCAUGGUGAUAUGCAGUUCAUGGUCUGCGGAGCUUAUGUCUGCAUGGAAGCAAGACAUGUUAAACGAGAUCUUGCAUGGACUUUAUAUCUAUCUGGUGAAUGGCUUUUGACAUUUAGGAAACCCAGCAAGUUUGAGGUUUUGGAGCUCAUGGUCUUAAGGGACUCGAAUCAGACAAGGAAAGCCAGCAAGUUUGAGGUUUUGGGAGCUCAUGGAUCUGGAGGAACUCUAAUCAGACAAGGUAUGGACAUGCUCUCCUCUUCCCGUAUUUAUUACUGAAUCAAAUUUGUAGUACAUAAUAAAGCUUAAGCCUAUUCUGGAAACAAUUUUGAGGUGUAAUCCAGUCUAGACACAUGGUAGAUGAUUAAUCAUGAAUUUCAUUUAUCUUGCAUGAAAAACAACUUUUUGAGAUGUAUCCAGUGGGUAGAUAAUUAAUUAAUACAAAAUAUGAUUUCUGGGUCUACAUUACCGUAUGUAUUGAGUGAUUGUUAUGAGCUGUUAUGAGAACAUGAUGAUUGUUGUUAUCCUCUUGAACUCUCUAUCUGAAAGCACGCCAGUGCAUGGAUGAGAUUCUUCAAUCUGAUACUUGUAACAACUCCAUUAAUUCCUGCCUGGAAUAGGUCUUCAGGUACUUACAGCUAAAGUACUCAAAAUAGCCUGGGCUAGAUAAAGUUAUAAGAAAAAUAAUCUUAAAGCAUGGUUGUAGUUCAUGCAGUAGGUCUUUUAUUCUGCUUACUUGCAAGCUGUGAUCAGAAGAUGGGAAUGGCCGUCUUCAAGAAAAGGUGUUUGUUUCUCACUGUUUUCUGUAUUUUUCUAAUCUUUCAUUG